This 428-nucleotide ribosomal RNA is filed under the name Corinectria fuckeliana. RNAcentral describes it as "partial large subunit ribosomal RNA". It matches the Rfam family "Eukaryotic large subunit ribosomal RNA", at positions 116 to 555 of the family's 3401-position model. Lineage: Eukaryota; Fungi; Ascomycota; Sordariomycetes; Hypocreales; Nectriaceae. The record is from RNAcentral.
UGAAAUCUGGCCCCCGGGUCCGAGUUGUAAUUUGUAGAGGAUGCUUUUGGUGCGGUACCUUCCGAGUUCCCUGGAACGGGACGCCAUAGAGGGUGAGAGCCCCGUCUGGUUGGACGCCAAUCCUUUGUAAAGCUCCUUCGACGAGUCGAGUAGUUUGGGAAUGCUGCUCUAAAUGGGAGGUAUAUGUCUUCUAAAGCUAAAUAUUGGCCAGAGACCGAUAGCGCACAAGUAGAGUGAUCGAAAGAUGAAAAGCACUUUGAAAAGAGAGUUAAAAAGUACGUGAAAUUGUUGAAAGGGAAGCGCUCAUGACCAGACUUGGGCCCGGUUGAUCAUCCAGGGUUCUCCCUGGUGCACUCUUCCGGCCCAGGCCAGCAUCAGUUCGCUGUGGGGGAUAAAGGCUUCGGGAAUGUGGCUCCUCCGGGAGUGUU